UUGGAGUUUUAUUUAUUGAAAUAUCUUCUCAGGGCAGCAUGUCAUACGAUUGGCUCUGGGAGACAGCCAAUCGAAACACUGGGGGGCGUGGCUAUCAGUAAUUUGUAAUUUGCGCCAAACGGCAAUCCCUACGGAGCAACGAGGCGGAGAGGACCACGAGAGUUAAAUAGAGUAAGGGAGAAUCCUUGAAAUAAAGAGACAAUGCAGAAGGUGUGGCUUGAAGGAAUAGCAAAAAAUCUGAGGAAACCCAAAGAUUCUAAAGUAAAUACAGAAGUCCAACUUAUUAAUGGAAAUGAGAAGGAAUUUAUGGACUCCUACAUCACCAAGAUCCAAGAGGAAAGGAAUUAUUUUUUCCAAGCACCUAAGUCCACCAGCAAAGACUAUUAUUUUUAUGCCUGUGAAAGAUCAAAUAAGGCAAAAGGACAAAGCAAAGGGGAGUCCAGUAAAACAAGAGCCAAUUCCUGCCAGGCUUAUGUUUCUUUUAAAAUGGUCAGGGAGGCUGGAUACAAAGCUGUAAUAAUUCGACACAUGUUGGAACAUACAGGACACAAUGUAUCCAAUCCUGAAGAGCUAACGAAGAACCCAGUUGAUCCUGAAUUAUUAGGAUUUGUGGAGAUGUGGCUUAACCAAGGACUGUCAGUAUCCCAAGUUGUGUUAAAAAGUUGUAAUUGGGCACAAAGUCAUGGGCACACAGAUAAGCACAACAGAAGAUACUAUCUCACCCCUAAUGAUGUUAGAUUAGUAAAGCGAAGUUUGCAAUCCAUCAUUUUACCUGAUAUUGAUGAUUCUGUGAGUGUUGACAAGUUGAUCAGCACUGACCUGAAGGAAAACAUUUGUUUUUAUCAACCAAUCACAAAAGAUCAACCUUUGAUCAUAGUAGUUCAAACACCAGCACAGAAGGCUCUUUUGCAAGAAAAUCCCAAUCCCAUGAUUUUCAUGGAUGCGUCCUACAAAGGUUUAACCUCAUAUGGUUAUGCCUUUUAUGCCCUUUUAUUAGUGAAUCAAACAGGAAGAGGAGUUCCUUUUGCCUACUUUAUUGUAAGCCAUGAAUCAUCUGAAACACUGACUGUUUGCUUGAAGAGCCUAUCCUCGUGCAAUCCAGGCUUUUACCCAAGGUCAGUAAUGAUAGAUCGUGACUUAAAAGAACUUGGUGCCAUACGACAGACCUUCCCAAAGACCAAAGUUCUCUUAUGCUGGUUUCAUGUUUUGCAGGCUGUACAUCGCUGGCUGGUGAAAAAAGAUGGAGGAAACCUAUCACCUGCCCAAAGAAACACCGUUAUACAUGCCAUGAUGACAAUGAAAGCCUGCAUGACGGUACUAAAGGAGGGAUUUCUGUGACAUCUUGCAACUGAAUGAAGAAGAUUUUGAAAGUGUGUCUGCUUCAAAGUGUAGAGACCUUGAGGCCCAGUUUGGUAGCAGCCGGGUAACCCAUUACCUCAGGGACCAAUGGUUUCCUUUCGCCGCACUCUGGGCAAACUUUGGACGAUUGUUUCAGCACAACAGCAGUGACACCAACAACAAAGCAGAGAGGUACUGGCAUAGAGUAAUCAUACAGGUAGUUCCUGCAAUCAGUUAUUAAGGAAUUAUGUAAAUAAAGCAAACUUGUAUGUUUCCACAGAUUAAUCUUAGCAACUGUAAAAUGGCAUAAUGUAUUUCAUUUAAAAUUAUGAUGUUAAAUGCAAAGAAUUUUGCAUCACUAUUAUUACUUAACAGCAACCUGCAUUACUCUGUGCCUAAUCCACAGCUAUUCUGACAUCACUCCUUUGUUUCUAAAUCCACAGCUAUAAUGACCAUCAUUCUUGUUUCUAAUCCACAGCUGUUCUGACCAUCACCCCUGUUUCUAAUCCACAGCUAUUCUAAGAAUCACUCCUGUUUCUAAUCCACAGCUAUACUGACCAUUGCUCCAUGUUUCUAAUCCACAUCUGUUCUGACCAUUACUCCUGUUUCUAAUCCACAUCUGUACUGACCAUCACUCCUGUUUUUAAUCCACAUCUGUACUGAACAUCACUCCUCUGUUUUUAAUCCACAGCUAUUCUGACCACCACUCCUGUUUCUAAUCCACAUCUGUACUGAACAUCACUCCUCUGUUUUUAAUCCACAGCUAUUCUGACCACCACUCCUGUUUCUAAUCCACAUCUGUACUGACCAUCACUCCUGUUUCUAAUCCACAUCUGUACUGACCAUCACUCCUGUUUUUAAUCCACAUCUGUACUGACCAUCACUCCUCUGUUUUUAAUCCACAGUUGCAAUCCUGUUCCUAAUCCCAAAAACACUAAUACCACAGUAACAGGAACAACCACCUUUGCAACCACCUAGCAAGAAGCUUCAGGUGUGAAAUUAUUCUGCUGUGUUAUUCAGGAUUUUACUACAGGUGCAUGUAUGUUUCUUCCCCUUUUCAGAUUCUUCUUCACUAUAAAAUACCAGUUUUUGCGAGGUCAAGCAAACAAACGAGUUGACCAGCUUCUUCAAUUGCUUUGUGGAGAUGUCCAAAAAUAUUACAAUUAUUUGGAUGACCUCAUACAUGCUGGACGACUUAACACUUCUUCAUCAUCAUCAUCAUCAUCAUCAUCUACUUCUGUACCUACUACAAGUAUGCUGGGGGAUGGUCUGCAUGAAAAAAUUCACAUAGGUGAAGAUGGGAGAUGUUCACUGCCAGAAGAUUUCAUGUCAACAGUGUCAGACCCUCGUAUAAUUACAGUUGAUUUAGUCUGGAUGCUCUGUGACUGCAAAACCUAUGACAGAGGCAAUCUGUGCAAGCACACCAUGAUGGCCAAAACUGAGGCACAAAGAAGAGGCAUAAACAUACAAGUUUUACGCAAUAGAGUGGCAAAACAAUAUUUUGACAAUGAUCAGUUCUACAUAGAUGGAGACUGUCUUUCAGUAUACCAUCAUGAUGGCAAUGCCACAUUUGUCUUUAGAGGUGAAUCUGCUUUUUGCACUUGUACUGCCAACAGUUACCAAGAAAAAUGUGUGUGCCUACAUCUUGCGGAUAUCCCUUGAAAUUAACAUGACCUCUUCUUGCAUGGCCAUGACUGAAAGUGAGAUUGCCCAUCAGCUGUGUCCUAAACCAAAGCCUACAGUGCAGACCAUGCUGUCAGACUUGCUUGAAUGGAGUCACUCACCAAACUACAAGUACAGCAGAGAACUGCACAAUACAAUCCAGAAAGCACACAAAAUGGCAUUUGCAAACUUUGGAAUAGUUUCUAAGAAACGCAAAAUCUCUGCCCUGCAUGCAUAUCGGCAACGUAUUGAGAAGGCCAAACGUGAAGCUAGAGAGACUUUUAAACCUGUAAGGUCACACAGGUUACGUGUGCGGAACAUAAAGAAGAAAAGUGUGUCAAGAGAGGGAAUUGUGUAACUGUUGGUCACAUUUCUUUUCUCCUUUUCUCAGUGAACACUUUAAAAAUAUGGUGGAUAUACCCUAAUGGUAAUUUAUCAGCUCCAAUGAACAUGUAGGACCACUUUGUUACAGCAAAUUACAUUUGCUGUCAUCCAUCAGUCACAGCAGUUACCUAGUUCUUCAAUACUAAGUAUCCCCAUGUAGCAGGUAUUAUUUGUGUUGUUUUUCAUUCUCAGCAUUGCAGUGACACUUAUGUGUUGCUGGUGUGGGUAGAUCAGACACAGCUGUGCUGUGCUUUUUUUUUUUUUACCUCUUGUGACACUUUGGACUGGUCCACCAACCAAAACUUUUUAGCCAACUGGAAAGCACUGAUGAAGGACUAUAACAAAAAUGGCAGCAAUAAUUGAGCCAUCAUCUCUGACUUUACAACUAGUUAGGUCAAGGUAACUCAACAGAAUGGACAGUGUUUAAAAACUCCACCAAGUGUAUAUUUGGAUGUUGAUUCUUGAUAUGGAUGUUAUAAAUGUAAAUAAAUUGUUGAUUACUUUGUUUUUUAA
Astyanax mexicanus (Mexican tetra) is the source of this 3897-nucleotide RNA transcript. RefSeq lists it as uncharacterized. The transcript is spliced from 6 exons. The record is from RefSeq and is a predicted model, not a curated record. Lineage: Eukaryota; Metazoa; Chordata; Actinopteri; Characiformes; Acestrorhamphidae.